ACUCUAAGCGGUGGAUCACUCGGCUCAUGGGUCGAUGAAGAACGCAGCAAACUGUGCGUCAUCGUGUGAACUGCAGGACACAUGAACAUCGACAUUUUGAACGCAUAUCGCAGUCCAUGCUGUUAUGUACUUUAAUUAAUUUUAAAGUGCUGCUUGGACUACAUAUGGUUGAGGGUUGUAAGACUAUGCAAAAUAAGUUGUUCAUAAAUUUCAUUUCAUGAUUUUUAUAAGCACAUGGUAUAUUAUUGGGUAUAAUAAUUAUUAAUUGUUAUAUUCAUAAUAUUAAAAAUUAUAUGAAAAACAUUAUUCUCACAUUGUUGUAAAUAUUUGAAUGUGAAAACGAAGAGAAAUAUUUUCUUUUUUUUUAAAUCAAAUAAUACUGAGAAAUGUCUAGCAUAAAAAAUGUGAAAAUAUUUUUCAUCUAGAAUUGUCUCUUAUUAAUGAUGCAAAAAAUCGAAAAAUGUUGCUAAUGUUAUUAUUCUUCGUUUGGUUUGUUAAAAAAUAUAACAAAUUUAAAUAUAUAAUGUUUUCUCUAUAUAAAAAGAAUUAAUGCUAAUAAAUGUUUUAUACAACCUCAACUCAUAUGGGACUACCCCCUGAAUUUAAGCAUAUUAAUUAGGGGAGGAAAAGAAACUAACAAGGAUUUUCUUAGUAGCGGCGAGCGAAAAGAAAUCAGUUCAGCACUAAGUCACUUUGUCUAUAUGGCAAAUGUGAGAUGCAGUGUAUGGAGCGUCAAUAUUCUAGUAUGAGAAAUUAACGAUUUAAGUCCUUCUUAAAUGAGGCCAUUUACCCAUAGAGGGUGCCAGGCCCGUAUAACGUUAAUGAUUACUAGAUGAUGUUUCCAAAGAGUCGUGUUGCUUGAUAGUGCAGCACUAAGUGGGUGGUAAACUCCAUCUAAAACUAAAUAUAACCAUGAGACCGAUAGUAAACAAGUACCGUGAGGGAAAGUUGAAAAGAACUCUGAAUAGAGAGUUAAACAGUACGUGAAACUGCUUAGAGGUUAAGCCCGAUGAACCUGAAUAUCCGUUAUGGAAAAUUCAUCAUUAGACUUGUAGUAUUUAAACAAUAUUAUGAUAAUAGUGUGCAUUUUUUCCAUAUAAGGACAUUGUAAUCUAUUAACAUAACUAAAUUUAUCAUAAAAUAUGGCUUAUAGUUUAUUCAAAUUAUUAUGCUUGCAUUUUAACAUAGAAUAAAUGUCAUUAAUUUGAUAAAGUGCUGAUAGAUUUAUAUGACUACAGUGCGUUAAUUUUUCGGAAUUAUAUAAUGGCAUAAUUAUCAUUGAUUUUUGUGUUUAUUAUAUGCACUUGUACGAUUAACAAUGCGAAAGAUUCAGGAUACCUUCGGGACCCGUCUUGAAACACGGACCAAGGAGUCUAACAUAUGUGCAAGUUAUUGGGAUAUAAACCUAAUAGCGUAAUUAACUUGACUAAUAAUGGGAUUAGUUUUUUAACUAUUUAUAGCUAAUUAACACAAUCCCGGGGCGUUCUAUAUAGUUAUGUAUAAUAAUAUUUAUAUUAUUUAUGCCUCUAACUGGAACGUACCUUGAGCAGAUAUGCUGUGACCCGAAAGAUGGUGAACUAUACUUGAUCAGGUUGAAGUCAGGGGAAACCCUGAUGGAAGACCGAAACAGUUCUGACGUGCAAAUCGAUUGUCAGAAUUGAGUAUAGGGGCGAAAGACCAAUCGAACCAUCUAGUAGCUGGUUCCUUCCGAAGUUUCCCUCAGGAUAGCUGGUGCAUUUUAAUGUUAUAUAAAAUAAUCUUAUCUGGUAAAGCGAAUGAUUAGAGGCCUUAGGGUCGAAACGAUCUUAACCUAUUCUCAAACUUUAAAUGGGUAAGAACCUUAACUUUCUUGAUAUGAAGUUUAAGGUUAUGAUAUAAUGUGCCCAGUGGGCCACUUUUGGUAAGCAGAACUGGCGCUGUGGGAUGAACCAAACGUAAUGUUACGGUGCCCAAAUUAACAACUCAUGCAGAUACCAUGAAAGGCGUUGGUUGCUUAAAACAGCAGGACGGUGAUCAUGGAAGUCGAAAUCCGCUAAGGAGUGUGUAACAACUCACCUGCCGAAGCAACUAGCCCUUAAAAUGGAUGGCGCUUAAGUUGUAUACCUAUACAUUACCGCUAAAGUAGAUGAUUUAUAUUACUUGUAAUAUAAAUUUUGAAACUUUAGUGAGUAGGAAGGUACAAUGGUAUGCGUAGAAGUGUUUGGCGUAAGCCUGCAUGGAGCUGCCAUUGGUACAGAUCUUGGUGGUAGUAGCAAAUAAUCGAAUGAGACCUUGGAGGACUGAAGUGGAGAAGGGUUUCGUGUGAACAGUGGUUGAUCACGAGUUAGUCGGUCCUAAGUUCAAGGCGAAAGCCGAAAAUUUUCAAGUAAUAAAAUGACUAUAUAUUACAAAAAUGCCAAUUAAUAUACUUGAAUAAUUUUGAACGAAAGGGAAUACGGUUCCAAUUCCGUAACCUGUUGAGUAUCCGUUUGUUAUUAAAUAUGGGCCUCGUGCUCAUCCUGGCAACAGGAACGACCAUAAAGAAGCCGUCGAGAGAUAUCGGAAGAGUUUUCUUUUCUGUUUUAUAGCCGUACUACCAUGGAAGUCUUUCGCAGAGAGAUAUGGUAGAUGGGCUAGAAGAGCAUGACAUAUACUGUUGUGUCGAUAUUUUCUCCUCGGAAUGACCAGGUGGAGUGCACUUUAGUGAACUCUACUGACUGGGUGUGUGUGUGGGUUAGAGGAACUUUUGGCAGGUUGUUGUUGUCAGUAAUAUUGCAAGUUUCCGAGC
Molecule: ribosomal RNA, 2767 nt
Filed under: Drosophila serrata
Lineage: Eukaryota; Metazoa; Arthropoda; Insecta; Diptera; Drosophilidae
Description: eukaryotic LSU rRNA
Rfam family: Eukaryotic large subunit ribosomal RNA (bases 570-2767)
Source: RNAcentral